RNAcentral lists this long non-coding RNA (327 nucleotides) under Pan troglodytes (chimpanzee). Its description in RNAcentral is "lncRNA (ENSPTRG00000054122.1)". The record is from RNAcentral. Lineage: Eukaryota; Metazoa; Chordata; Mammalia; Primates; Hominidae.
CCCUGACAUCAUCGUGCUCAAGGUCUGGGAAGGCACCUGGGGGUUGUGAUCGGCAUCUUGGUGGCCGUCGUCCUCCUGCUCCUCCUCCUCCUCCUCCUGUUCCUCGUCCUCCGACACCGACGUCAGGGCAAACGCUGGACAUCGACCCAGAGAAAGGCUGAUUUCCAACAUCCUGCAGGGGCUGUGGGGCCAGAGCCCACAGACAGAGGCCUGCAGAGGAGGUCCAGCCCAGCUGCCGAUGCCCAGGAAGAAAACCUCUCAGAUGCUGCCGUGAAGGACACACAGCCUGAGGACGGAGUGGAGCUGGACACUCGGGUGAGGCCCUGC